Molecule: ribosomal RNA, 443 nt
Filed under: uncultured bacterium
Lineage: Bacteria
Description: partial 16S ribosomal RNA
Rfam family: Bacterial small subunit ribosomal RNA
Source: RNAcentral
CCUACGGGUGGCAGCAGUGGGGAAUAUUGCGCAAUGGGCGCAAGCCUGAUCCAGCAACGCCGCGUGAAGGAAGAAGGCUUUCGGGUUGUAAACUUCUUUUAUUGAGGACGAAACAAAUGACGGUACUCAAUGAAUAAGCCACGGCUAACGACGUGCCAGCAGCCGCGGUAAUACGUAGGAGGCAAGCGUUAUUCGGAUUUACUGGGUGUAAAGCGCGUGUAGGCGGGUCUGCAAGUCAGCUGUGAAAACCAUGGGCUCAACCCAUGGCCUGCAUUUGAUACUGUUGUUCUUGAGUGAUGGAGAGGCAAGCGGAAUUCCGGGUGUAGCGGUGAAAUGCGUAGAGAUACGGAGGAACACCAGUGGCGAAGGCGGCCUGCUGGACAUUAACUGACGCUGAGGCGCGAAAGCGUGGGGAGCAAACAGGAUUAGAUACCCGUGUAGUC